Molecule: long non-coding RNA, 1114 nt
Filed under: Homo sapiens (human)
Lineage: Eukaryota; Metazoa; Chordata; Mammalia; Primates; Hominidae
Description: HSALNT0376821
Rfam family: Metazoan signal recognition particle RNA (bases 29-328)
Source: RNAcentral
UAGUGCUAUUCUGCGCCGGUAUCCGACCGCCGGGCGCGGUGGCGCGUGCCUGUAGUCCCAGCUACUCGGGAGGCUGAGGCUGGAGGAUCGCUUGAGUCCAGGAGUUCUGGGCUGUAGUGCGCUAUGCCGAUCGGGUGUCCGCACUAAGUUCGGCAUCAAUAUGGUGACCUCCCGGGAGCGGGGGACCACCAGGUUGCCUAAGGAGGGGUGAACCGGCCCAGGUCGGAAACGGAGCAGGUCAAAACUCCCGUGCUGAUCAGUAGUGGGAUCGCGCCUGUGAAUAGCCACUGCACUCCAGCCUGGGCAACAUAGCGAGACCCCGUCUCUUUUGAACAAUAAAUACGUUAAUUUUGGACUCUCAAGAGAUGAAUAUUCUCAUAGUCUUUUUUAUUGAUUAAACCUUUUACUUUCUUUUAAUUAAAACGUUACACUUGGGAAAGGAGUUUUUCCUCGACUCACCAGUGACACCUACUGGAAUAAAUUUACAAAACAACUUAAAAUCAGCUGUAAUGAUCACGAGUCAACGGAUUAUCUCCAAGACUUCAACAUACAACGUUUGUGCACCAACAACAUAUGUACAGCUAAGGAAAAUAUUCUGUAUUAAAUCAUGGGUGUGCUCAUGAAGUACGAAAGGAGCCAAGAAGAGAAAUUAAUUCCAGUUCGAGGUACAUUUGAGAGACCUUUGAGGUAGACCUUGAAGAAUGGGAUUUCUACAGGCAGCACUUGACAGAAGGGAAUGCCUGGUGAAAGGAAGCGCUUGAGCCAAGGUAAGGUGAACAACUUUGUGUAACUAGAAUAGAAGAUGGACAAAAGGCCUAGUGAUAGGAAUGAAAAGGUAUUUUAUUUUAAAGCCUCAUUGGGCAAGAUCCAAUGUCAAGCUUUUACAACUUUCCUAUAAUUUAUAUCAGUCACUAAUGUGUGGUUUCCAAAAGCCAUUUGCCUCUCAAAAGCUAAUCUAACAUUUGUCCACACUUUCUUAGGCCUCUUCUAGUUGGUCUCCACAAUAUUUAAAACAUUACAGUGGUUCUGAGAUCAAUUCCAUUAAUAUUUUUAGUACUCUGAUAUAUAAGCCUUUGGGCCUAAAGAAGUGAAUUCAUUUAGGAGAGAAAAAAAG